This 425-nucleotide ribosomal RNA is filed under the name uncultured bacterium. Its description in RNAcentral is "partial 16S ribosomal RNA". It matches the Rfam family "Bacterial small subunit ribosomal RNA", at positions 354 to 796 of the family's 1533-position model. The record is from RNAcentral.
GUGGGGAAUCUUGCGCAAUGGGCGAAAGCCUGACGCAGCCAUGCCGCGUGAAUGAUGAAGGUCUUAGGAUUGUAAAAUUCUUUCACCGGGGACGAUAAUGACGGUACCCGGAGAAGAAGCCCCGGCUAACUUCGUGCCAGCAGCCGCGGUAAUACGAAGGGGGCUAGCGUUGCUCGGAAUUACUGGGCGUAAAGGGCGCGUAGGCGGAUCGUUAAGUCAGGGGUGAAAUCCAAGAGCUCAACUCUGGAACUGCCCUUGAUACUGGCGAUCUUGAGUGUGAGAGAGGUAUGUGGAACUCCGAGUGUAGAGGUGAAAUUCGUAGAUAUUCGGAAGAACACCAGUGGCGAAGGCGACACACUGGCUCAUUACUGACGCUGAGGCGCGAAAGCGUGGGGAGCAAACAGGAUUAGAAACCCCGGUAGUCC